Molecule: transfer RNA, 75 nt
Filed under: Acidilobales archaeon
Lineage: Archaea; Thermoproteati; Thermoproteota; Thermoprotei; Acidilobales
Also listed under: 1 other name
Description: tRNA-Tyr
Rfam family: tRNA
About the family: Transfer RNA (tRNA) molecules are approximately 80 nucleotides in length. Their secondary structure includes four short double-helical elements and three loops (D, anti-codon, and T loops).
Source: RNAcentral
CCCCCCGUAGCUCAGUGGCAGAGCGCCCGGCUGUAGACCGGGUGGUCAGGGGUUCGAAUCCCCUCGGGGGGACCA